Molecule: ribosomal RNA, 169 nt
Filed under: uncultured bacterium
Lineage: Bacteria
Also listed under: 1 other name
Description: partial 16S ribosomal RNA
Rfam family: Bacterial small subunit ribosomal RNA
Source: RNAcentral
CCUACGGGAGGCAGCAGUGGGGAAUAUUGGACAAUGGGCGAAAGCCUGAUCCAGCAAUGCCGCGUGAGUGAUGAAGGCCUUAGGGUUGUAAAGCUCUCUUACCCGGGAUGAUAAUGACAGUACCGGGAGAAUAAGCUCCGGCUAACUCCGUGCCAGCAGCCGCGGUAAU